RNAcentral lists this ribosomal RNA (636 nucleotides) under Salmonella enterica subsp. enterica serovar Molade. Its description in RNAcentral is "partial 23S ribosomal RNA". It matches the Rfam family "Bacterial large subunit ribosomal RNA", at positions 1 to 668 of the family's 2925-position model. The record is from RNAcentral. Lineage: Bacteria; Pseudomonadati; Pseudomonadota; Gammaproteobacteria; Enterobacterales; Enterobacteriaceae.
GGGUUGUGAGGUUAAGCGACUAAGCGUACACGGUGGAUGCCCUGGCAGUCAGAGGCGAUGAAGGGCGUGCUAAUCUGCGAUAAGCGCCGGUAAGGUGAUAUGAACCGUUAUAACCGGCGAUACCCGAAUGGGGAAACCCAGUGUGACUCGUCACACUAUCAUUAACUGAAUCCAUAGGUUAAUGAGGCGAACCGGGGGAACUGAAACAUCUAAGUACCCCGAGGAAAAGAAAUCAACCGAGAUUCCCCCAGUAGCGGCGAGCGAACGGGGAGGAGCCCAGAGCCUGAAUCAGCAUGUGUGUUAGUGGAAGCGUCUGGAAAGACGCGCGAUACAGGGUGACAGCCCCGUACACAAAAGCGCAUGUGCUGUGAGCUCGAUGAGUAGGGCGGGACACGUGGUAUCCUGUCUGAAUAUGGGGGGACCAUCCUCCAAGGCUAAAUACUCCUGACUGACCGAUAGUGAACCAGUACCGUGAGGGAAAGGCGAAAAGAACCCCGGCGAGGGGAGUGAAAAAGAACCUGAAACCGUGUACGUACAAGCAGUGGGAGCACAGGUUUACCUGUGUGACUGCGUACCUUUUGUAUAAUGGGUCAGCGACUUAUAUUCUGUAGCAAGGUUAACCGUAUAGGGGAGCCG